CCUACGGGAGGCAGCAGCAGGGAAUAUUGCACAAUGGACGGAAGUCUGAUGCAGCGACGCCGCGUGGAUGAUGAAGGCCUUCGGGUCGUAAAAUCCUUUUCGGGGAGAAGAGAAAGGACGGUACCCCCGGAAUAAGCGUCGGCUAACUACGUGCCAGCAGCCGCGGUAAUACGUAGGACGCGAGCGUUAUCCGGAUUUACUGGGCGUAAAGCGUCUGUAGGCGGUCAGGUAAGUUGGACGUGAAAGCUCCGGGCUUAACCCGGAGAGGCCGUUCAAUACUGCUUGACUGGAGGGCGUGAGAGGGGAGCGGAAUUCCCGGUGUAGCGGUAAAAUGCGCAGAUAUCGGGAGGAACACCAGUGGCGAAGGCGGCUCCCUGGUACGAACCUGACGCUGAGAGACGAAAGCUAGGGGAGCGAACAGGAUUAGAGACCCUGGUAGUCCUAGCCCUAAACGCUGGAUGCUAGGUGUGGGGCCGAAUAGGCUCUGUGCCGCAGCUAACGCGCUAAGCAUCCCGCCUGGGGAGUACGG
This 529-nucleotide ribosomal RNA is filed under the name uncultured bacterium. RNAcentral describes it as "bacterial SSU rRNA". It matches the Rfam family "Bacterial small subunit ribosomal RNA", at positions 338 to 885 of the family's 1533-position model. The record is from RNAcentral.